GAUGAAGAACGUAGCAAAAUGCGAUAAGUAAUGUGAAUUGCAGAAUUCAGUGAAUCAUCGAAUCUUUGAACGCACAUUGCGCCCGCCAGUAUUCUGGCGGGCAUGCCUGUUCGAGCGUCAUUUCAACCCUCAAGCACAGCUUGGUGUUGGGACUCGCGUUAAUUCGCGUUCCCCAAAUUGAUUGGCGGUCACGUCGAGCUUCCAUAGCGUAGUAGUAAAACCCUCGUUACUGGUAAUCGUCGCGGCCACGCCGUUAAACCACAACUUCUGAAUGUUGACCUCGGAUCAGGUAGGAAUACCCGCUGAACUUAAGCAUAUCAAUAAGCGGAGGA
RNAcentral lists this unclassified non-coding RNA (332 nucleotides) under soil metagenome. RNAcentral describes it as "partial contains 5.8S ribosomal RNA, internal transcribed spacer 2, and large subunit ribosomal RNA". The stretch from base 1 to 120 matches the Rfam family "5.8S ribosomal RNA", at positions 35 to 154 of the family's 154-position model. The record is from RNAcentral.